Melitaea cinxia (Glanville fritillary) is the source of this 845-nucleotide long non-coding RNA. RefSeq lists it as uncharacterized. NCBI's taxonomy places the organism in Eukaryota, Metazoa, Arthropoda, Insecta, Lepidoptera, Nymphalidae. The transcript is spliced from 2 exons. The record is from RefSeq and is a predicted model, not a curated record.
AAGAAGACUAUGCCCAGCAGUGUGAUGUUACAGGCUGAAUCGUAUUUAUAUAUCUACAGAUGUAUUACUGAUUACAAUAUUGCUUUCGUUCCUAAAAUUGAUUUCCAUAUUAGUUCCAUUGCAAAUGCCAUUAUUAUUCUUACAUUCUAUUCGCAUAUCACAGAAAGUGUCAGUAUUUACAAUACAAUUACAACAGCUUUAAAAGUGGAAAAUACGAUAACAAAUAAGAUUUGUUCGUCGCACUGAAAAGAAAUUAAUUUACGUGCAGGCUUUUAUUUAGGAUGAAGAAGGCUUGCCGUUGCUCAGGAAAUGAAGUUAUCUCGAACUCAACCGUUUCCUCAGGAAAAUACUACAUAAAGGAAUAUUUAUAGUAAACCUAGUAUUUGCAUAGCUUAUUAGACCUUAUUCACUAAAUAAAAAACUUAUAUAUAACUAGCUGACCCGACAGACGUUGUCCUAACUAUGAAUAUCGAAUUCGAAUUGGUAUAAUUAAUUAAUAAUAAUAAUAAAAAAAGUGUUUAACAUUCUCUUUGAAGAUAUUUGUAUCAUCCAUUCUGUUAAUUUUAUGUCAAACGUCAUAAUGUUACAUUAAAAAAAUUUAUUUUGUCCAAAGCGCUAAGCUUAGAUUAGAAAUAAUUUUAUAUGAUGGUUAAGUAUUCUUAAACUUUCUAAUUUUCCGCGCAAUUUUCUUAUUUUUUUCUUUCAUAAGAACCGAUUAGCGAAAUCGGUCCAGCCGUUCACCUGUGAUGGAGUGACCAAAGGAAAUAGAUUUUUUAUGAAACUUCGCGCUGGUGAAGUCAUGUUUCAAAUACGUAUAAGUUAAUAUUAAAUGUUAUGUUUACAAA